Molecule: ribosomal RNA, 451 nt
Filed under: uncultured bacterium
Lineage: Bacteria
Description: partial 16S ribosomal RNA
Rfam family: Bacterial small subunit ribosomal RNA
Source: RNAcentral
AACGAACGCUGGCGGCAGGCUUAACACAUGCAAGUCGAACGAACAUAGCAAUAUGUUAGUGGCAGACGGGUGAGUAACGCGUGGGAAUGUGCCCUUUAGUUCGGAAUAACUCAGGGAAACUUGAGCUAAUACCGGAUAAGCCCGAGAGGGGAAAGAUUUAUCGCUGAAGGAGCAGCCCGCGUCUGAGUAGCUAGUUGGUGAGGUAAUGGCUCACCAAGGCGACGAUCAGUAGCUGGUCUGAGAGGAUGAUCAGCCACACUGGGACUGAGACACGGCCCAGACUCCUACGGGAGGCAGCAGUGGGGAAUAUUGGACCAUGGGGGCAACCCUGAUCCAGCCAUGCCGCGUGAGUGAUGAAGGCCUUAGGGUUGUAAAACUCUUUUAUCCGGGAAGAUAAUGACUGUACCGGAAGAAUAAGCCCCGGCUAACUUCGUGCCAGCCGCCGCCGUAA